Astatotilapia calliptera (eastern happy) is the source of this 1000-nucleotide long non-coding RNA. Lineage: Eukaryota; Metazoa; Chordata; Actinopteri; Cichliformes; Cichlidae. The record is from Ensembl.
GUCAGCCACCUCCUGUACAUGGAUGACAUCAAGCUGUAUGCCAAGAGUGAACGAGACAUCGAUUCACUGAUCCACACUACCAGGAUAUAAGGCAACGACAUCGGGAUGUCAUUUGGACUGGAGAAGUGUAGUCGAAUAAUAACAAAGAGAGGGAAGGUAGUCAGAACUGAGGGGAUCGAACUACCAGAAAGCAACAUUGCAGACAUAGAGGCCAGUUACAAGUACCUGGUGAUCCCACAGGCAAAUGGGAACCAUGAAGAGGCCGCUAGGAAAGCUGCAACCACCAAGUACCUGCAGAGGGCCAGGCAAAUCCUGAGGAGUUAGCUGAACGGUAAGAACAAGAUUUACUAGUCCCUAAGGACCCCAAAGCGCUUUACACAUUCAGUCAUCCACCCAUUCACACACACAUUCACACACUGGUGAUGGCAAGCUACAUUGUAGCCACAGCCACCCUGGGGCGCGAGCUUGAAGGAUAACACCGCCCGCAGGGGCGAGCUGGGUGUUUUUUUUGUUUUUUUUUAAUAUAGAUAGAUACAUUUCCCAGAUGCUCCAAAGCUUCCCUCUGUGUCAGUGAGUCCCUCUGCUGAGAUAGUGGAGGGCAGUUCAGUGACUCUGACCUGUAGCAGUGACGCUAACCCAGCAGCUACAUACACCUGGUACAAGAAUCAAACACAACUUAGUAAAGAACCACAGCUCUCCUUCAGCACCAUCCAGCCCUCUGACUCUGAAGAGUACCACUGUACAACUGAGAACAAGCUGGGAACAUCAACACCUGAAUACAUCUCUCUUGAUGUGAAAUGUGAGUGUAACUAAAUGUAUACAGUUUUGUUUUAUACCCUUACAAAUACAUCUAUCUUUUGUAAUGUUUUCCCCACUUUCCCUCCCUUUAGAGAUUUAUGUAUUACUGUCAAGAAUACUACAUCAAUUAUCCCAAAAGUUGGGACAUGUUUUUAAAAAGGAGUUUAUAUUCAUAUUGUCUGUUGAAACCCUAAGCAAAAAU